UGGGGAAUUCUGGACAAUGGGCGCAAGCCUGAUCCAGCCAUGCCGCGUGCGGGAAGAAGGCCUUCGGGUUGUAAACCGCUUUUGUCAGGGAAGAAAUCUUCUGAGUUAAUACCUCGGGAGGAUGACGGUACCUGAAGAAUAAGCACCGGCUAACUACGUGCCAGCAGCCGCGGUAAUACGUAGGGUGCAAGCGUUAAUCGGAAUUACUGGGCGUAAAGCGUGCGCAGGCGGUUUUGUAAGACAGAGGUGAAAUCCCCGGGCUCAACCUGGGAACUGCCUUUGUGACUGCAAGGCUUGAGUGCGGCAGAGGGGGAUGGAAUUCCGCGUGUAGCAGUGAAAUGCGUAGAUAUGCGGAGGAACACCGAUGGCGAAGGCAAUCCCCUGGGCCUGCACUGACGCUCAUGCACGAAAGCGUGGGGAGCAAACAGAUUAGAUACCCUGGUAGUCCACGCCCUAAACGAUGUCAACUGGUUGUUGGGAAGGUUCCUUCUCAGUAACGUAGCUAACGCGUGAAGUUGACCGCCUGGGGAGUACGGCCGCAAGGUUGAAACUUAAAUGAAUUGACGGGGUCAUAGC
RNAcentral lists this ribosomal RNA (576 nucleotides) under uncultured bacterium. RNAcentral describes it as "partial 16S ribosomal RNA". It matches the Rfam family "Bacterial small subunit ribosomal RNA", at positions 355 to 925 of the family's 1533-position model. The record is from RNAcentral.